This is a long non-coding RNA of Octopus bimaculoides (California two-spot octopus), 3808 nucleotides long. The record is from RefSeq and is a predicted model, not a curated record. Lineage: Eukaryota; Metazoa; Mollusca; Cephalopoda; Octopoda; Octopodidae.
AUGUUUUAUAUGACACAUUCUACCAGUGUCCCAAGUUUCAAAGUGUUUCGUUAGUGUUUCGUUAAGAAAAUACUGGUGCCCCCAUUUUAAAAUAGAUCCCAUGUAUGUACACAUAUGCACACACACACACAUGUGUAUAAUUAUAAUGUAUAUUUAUCUCAUUCAAUGAUAAAUAGCGUUGAUAGAUGUAAGUACCAGUGAAAAAGCUGAUAAACGGGUGUUUAAACAGUUUGUCUUGAAUAUUCUGUGAGUUCUACAAACAUUCCCUUCUCUCUCUUGUCAUCAAAACUUCAAUGAAUCACAGACUGGUCCAUUGAAAACCCAUAACAAACAAUGCUGUUCACAGGAUGUAAUAUAAAUAAAUAACCCUCCGAUGAGAUCUUAAUAAGGCAGAAACAUGUCCAGAGUUAUUUUCUGUACUUGCUGGAAAAAGAAAAUGAAAACAAUUUUAGUUAUUGACAAUGAUUUCUAGUUAGAUUUUUAUUGCUCCCCUCAUUAGUUGUACCAGAUAUAUUAACGCUAAUUUCACUGUUGACUGACCAGAUUCAUAGCCUUGUAAUUUAAGUGGAACGGUUUAUUUUCAAAAUCCAAAUCCAAGAUCAUCAGAGAUUUGACUUUCCAAUAACUUAUUCACCACAUUGUGAUCCUUGCAUGGAAAACUGAUUUCAGUCUUUGGCACCAGAAUGUCAGUGUUUUUAAUGGUUUUGUGAUAAAUUUGGUCCUCAUGUUUGUGUUGUUAUUUUUUUUUCUUUUUGACAAUUCCAGAGGAAUGAAAAGUAUUGUAAAAUCAAGAGUGUGUGUCAUGGAUGGAAUUAAAUCUUGUAUCUCGUUCAGCAUGUCACAAUGACCUAUCCUCUCUGUUUGUGUAUAAAAUAUUGGAUUGUCUUUUAAAAGAGUUUGAAGACCAAGUCUUGUAGAGAACUGAUGUGUUUCUUUGAAAUGUAUUUUGUUAGUGAUAUUCCUUUAAUCAACCCUGGAGGGGAUGAAAGACAAAAUCAACCCUAGUAGGAUUUGAUCUCAAAUGAGGACAAAACUAAAGGCUAUAAUGAGCAAAUGAGUGAUCCUUUAUAUGGUUUUUCAGUCUGCUAGAAAUAGCAAGUAAAUGUCCUUAAAAUCUUACCAUAUUUUCUUUAAAUAUGACACAUUCAAUAUUGUAGUUGUAAAUACAUUUUGUUGAAAAAUGACAGGUUGGACAUGGGUGGGGUGCUAUUGAUCUUAGGUUUACUCAUUCAGGAUUGAUGUGGAACCGAAAUGGUAGCUAAUGCUCAACAUCACAGCCUUUGUUGGUAUGAAAUAUUGGUUUCAAAUUUUGGCACAAGGCCAACAAUUUGGUGUUGGUGGGCAGGAUAAGUCGAUUAUAUCAAUGCCAGUGCUCAACUGGUACUUAUUUUAUCAACCCUGAAAAGAUGAAAGGCAAAGUCAACCUCGGCAGAAUUUGAACAUAAUGACUGACGAAAUGCUGCUAUGGAUUCUGCUAGUUCUAUUGCCAUAUUGGUAUAAAAUAUUAAAAGAUAAUGUAGACCAAAGAUGUUUCAGUUUAAAGCAUAUUUGAUGGUUAAUAUUUGUGAAAAAAAAAAAAGGACAAAAACAGCAAGAAAUGUUUUCUAAUUCCCCUAAAAACUUAAGAUUUUGAGGGUUUGUAUUGUCUAAAUCUGAAGCAACUAAUUCACAUAAAAAGUUGUAUCAUAUAUGAUGUAGUCACCGGAGGAAAAGCAGUGUCCAUGAAUCUUUUUAAGGUUCAUGAGAUUGGUAGGAGAAAGGGAGAAACUGUUCUCUAACUGAAGAUCUGGCCUUGUAACAGUGAACCCUGCUAAAUGUACCCAAUGUACCAGGCCAAAGGGUAUUAAACUAGGUGACAGAUCAAUCCCUGUGAUGGGCUUUUACGUUGUGUCUAUACCAAAUUUAACUGACAAACCUUUGGUCAGCCUGAGGCUAUAGUAGAAGGUACUUGCCCAAGGUGUUGUCAUGCAGUGGGACUGAACCUGGAACCUGUCCUGGUGAAAUGAGCUUCUGAAACACACAACCAUACUUCUUCACUCUAAAUAAAAUUAUUCCAAUUUUAGAGACUGAUGAUGCCCUCAUCAUCAUCAUCUUUUUUUAAUGUUCAUUUUCCAUGCUGGCAUGGGUUGGAUGGUUUGACCAAAGCUGGCGACUUGGACCAGGCUCUAGUCAUAUUUGACUUUGGUUCUAUGGUUGGAUGCUUUUCCUAAUAUCAACCCCUUUACAGAGUGUGUUGGGUGCUUUAUACAUGGCACCAACACAGGUGCACCUUAUGUGGCAAUGGCACUGAGGCACUUUAUGUGGCCCCAGCACUGGCAUGGAUAAUAUUUAUGUGGCCCCAGCACCAUCAUUUCAAAUGCAAAAUGCUGUCUUUCAUUUAUUUAUAUGUAUUUAUCUAUACACAAGUCUGGGUAACCUGCAGGAUGAUCUUCAGGGAUCAGAGGUACCCAGCAGUGAAUCAUCGAUCAGCGUCAGGGAACAACUGUAGAAUUUAUUGACUCCAAUAUUUUACUGGUACUUAUUUUCGCAAACCACAAAAGGGCAAAAAGCAAUGUUGUCUUUUGCUGAAUUUGAACUCAGACCCUAAAGAACCACAAUUAAAUACUAAAAGGUCAUUUGUCUUAUUUCAUUUAUCUAUAUUAAUUAAUAUUCAGGCAAAUAUCUAAUAAGUGAAGAAUAUGGUCUUGUAGUCCUAUUGUUUACCUCAACCAAUAAUUCUGAUUCAUUGUCCACAACAUUUUUUUUUUUUCACCAUUUCAAAUAAAAAUAGAAUUAAUUUAACAAAUAUUACUUUUUAAUUAAUCAAGACUGUCGUUGGUAAUUAAAUCUCUAUUACGGCAUUUUCUGUUGAUUAUUGGUGUCUUUUGUGGAAAGGCUGGUGCAAGCUUUUAAUGGAGUUUAGUGCAUCUGCAUGGAGUUGGUUCAUUUAAUGGAGUUGGUCUAUAUGCAUGCCUUGAGUCCUUUCAGCUGCAUGAUGACAAUUAUCCAUUACCAUCAUCUUUUAAUCUCACUUGUAACAUCUUUUUGAUGUCUCUUGGUACCCUCCUUCAUUCUUCUCUUAUUUUUCAACCUCUUUAAGCGUGCUCCAACGGAUUCAGAUGAUGAAGCAUUGUACCAGCAUCUAACUGCUGAUUCCCGACAGACAGAACCCGUUAAGCCAUUUGUUGCCAAUGUUCUGAAGAAUGAUUCCAAAGGCGAUGCCAGGCAGGUAGACUCUGUUCGAAGCAAUACCAAUAAUUAUGGUGCCAUUGUCUCCACAGACACAGGAAACUUGAUUGACGGAUGAUCUCCACAAUGACAUUUACAUGGAACUGAUCUUUUAUUCUUUCUGUUUCUCAUUUCUAAGUUCUAUUUCUAACUUUUUUUUUUUUUUUUUGGUGUGAAUUCUUAAGUUGUUUUAAUUUAUUGAAGAGACAAAAGAGAGGAAAGAAAAAGCAAAAUAACAAAAAAAACCUCAAACAUUUUUACAUUAAAAAAAAAUCAAAAUAUUUCAUUUAUAUUUAUUAAUUAGUUAUUUACAUGUUGCUAAAUUACUUUUCCUCUUUUGUUUGUACAUCUCUACUUCUCUCUCCCUCUCUCUCUCAUUUAAAAUCAAUUUCUUGCUUUACAAUUGAUUUGUUCUGCAUUUCACUCAAUUUCUCAAAUCUAUUUUUUUACAAAUUUUAUUCUUCGUUAGUUGUUGCAGGUUCUUUUUACUUAAGCACCUCGUUAGUUAUCUAUUCAUUUUAGAUUUUUUUUUUGUUGUUUUUGCAAUUUUACAUUUUGUUAGUUUCUUCCAGAAAUAUCAAUAAAGCACUCAAUGAAAUCA